This is a long non-coding RNA of Argentina anserina (silverweed cinquefoil), 491 nucleotides long. RefSeq lists it as uncharacterized. The transcript has 2 exons. The record is from RefSeq and is a predicted model, not a curated record. Lineage: Eukaryota; Viridiplantae; Streptophyta; Magnoliopsida; Rosales; Rosaceae.
ACAUCUUCAUAUUCUCUUCACCUUGGCUGGGCGUUGUUCUACCUGUUUGCAAAUCACAAUUGACGUUUUCCAGUUUAUACGGGAUGACGAUGGUGAACUGAUGUUUAGAUUGGUGAGGAGGUUGUGAAUAUUGAUAGAAGAGAAUGCUAUACAGGGAUGAGGGAUAUGAGCUACGGCAAAAUCGCUCACUUGCCACCGAGGAAACCUUUAUGCGGACUUCUUUUCAUAGCUGAAAGAUUUGAAUACUGUUAUUUGUAUGAGAAGUUUGGAAAUUGUUGUUCUUUCUAGUUGAAAAACAUUGCAGAAUAGGUAAGGUUUGUGUGGAUUGCAAAUGUGUGAUGUACAUAUACUUGUGUCAGUUAUGUACACUGAUAGUUUAUCAUAAAAUUCACCGGUAAUGGGAAAUAGGUGAGGUUAAAGACUAGCUCUAUUAAUGUAGAGACUAAAGACCACGAUUUUAUAUAAACAUUUGAUGUUCCUUCUGGUACAAA